AAGUGAAUCAGCUAUACAUAUACAUAUAUCCCCAUAUCUCCUCCCUCUUGCAUCUCCCUCCCUCCCUCCCUAUCCCACCCCUCUAGGUGGUCACAAAGCACGGAGCUGAUCUCGCUGUGCUAUGUAUUUUUAUUUUUAUUGAAGUAUAGUUGAUUUACAAAAUUGUGUUAAUUUCUGCUGUACAGCAAAGUGAUUCAGUUAUACAUAUACAUAUAUUCUGUUAAAAAAUUUUAUUGAAGUAUAGUUGAUUGACAACAUUUUGUUAAUUUCUAUGGUACAUACAUUCUUUUUUAUAUUCUUUUCCGUUAUGGUUUAUCACAGGAUAUUGAAUAUAGUGCCCUGUGCUAUACAGUAGGACCGUGUUGUUUAUCCAUCCUAUAUAUAAUAGUUUACAUCUGCUAAUUCCAAACUCCCGAUCUAGUCCUCCUCCACCCUCCCUCCCCCUUGGCAACCACAAGUCUGUUCUCUAUGUCUGAGCAUCAUCUUCAUUUAAUCCUCAUAGUAAUCCCCCCAAAUAAGUAUUAUUUCCAUUGUGUAGAUAAGGAAACUGAGACUCUCAGAGGUGAAGUGGUGUACUCAGGCCAGCUUGUGAGGGGCAGAGCCAGGACACAAGCCCACAACUGCUUGACACUAAACCAGUGCUCAUAACCACCACACAUACCGCCUUUCAAAAUGUUAUUUCAGGGGAGUCACAGAAUGGCAGGUGGAAACCCCUGGGAACAUGAUGCUGUUUGGGGUGGUCCCGAGCAGUAGGGAUCAGGGCACAACCUCAGGGGAGGAGUGAGAUGUGGAGUGAUGGCCUGGCAGAGGUGCCCACCCCGCCUUCCCCACUGCCACCUGUGCCCUGCUGAGGACCAUGUGGACACCAUCUGACCAGCCCUCGGGCCUCACCCGACUGUGACUUGGCAGAGAGGGGCCUCCAGGUCCCCAAGUCGCUCAGCCUCCAGGCUGGUCAGGGCUGGACGAGGGAGGAAACUGAAGAUCUCAGUCCUGGGAGGUCUGUCAUCGGGGGAGGACAGCUGGGUUGACCGAGCUGAGAAAGGGUGGGGUGGCUGAGGGAACACUGGGGUAAGGGGCGGCCUGAAGCUCGGGGCCCGGCAGCUGAGGGCUCCAUCCUGCCGCACAAAGGGCCAGGUGCUCUCUGGGAACGAAGGAGCGUUUCUUCCUCUGCAAUGCUGACGUCUGGCCGCGCUCCCUCUCUGCAGCGUUACUUUCUUCUCUGACAAACAGACUGUUGUAAGUUCUUCAGGAACCUUGUUGGAUAUGGUGCCUGAGUAAGAAAUCUCUGGGGUGGACAGAAGGGUUUGAGGGGAUUUGAGAAUAACUCUGUGUCUGGGUGAGAGUUUUAGGUGUGCAGCUGGAUGGGAGAGAAACGUGGAAGCUAGCUGGGAAGAGACUUGAAGGUAUUCCAGUCAGGAACACUUCAGGGUCCUCUCUCUCAAUUCCCUGUGCAAAAAGGCAUCAGGAACCUCCCUACCUGCUGAUAAGGUAAGAAUUCUGGAAUGCUUCUUUGAGUGAAAAAGCCUGGAGCACAAUACUAUAUAUAUGUGAUAUCAUGCUACCUUGUGCAAAAGAAGAAUUGAAAAGGCAAAUAUCUAUAAUUACAUUUGCUUAUGAUUACACAAAGAAAUUCUGGAAGGCUAUGCAAGAACUGAAUACAGAUGGGCAUAUGGACAUGAGAACUGCACAGAUCGAGGGGACAAGACAUGCACAGUGAUGGCAGCUGGUCCCCUUCCUCUCAUGGGACUUAGGCUCUGAAACCUGAUGGUCCAACUCUCCUGGGCAGGCCUCCCAUUCUGUGGUCACAGCUGUGGAGGCACACCUCAGCCAUCUCGUCCAUCAAGUAACCAACCCUCGCCAGCUUUCCGGUUCCUCAGCUUCCUGAAAAUGUAGUCUUGCCACACUGGAGGAAGGAUGGACCAAAAGCAACGUGGGACCCUGUGUCAGCAGGAUUUAAUAGACGGGGAGCCAGAGCCUCAGCUGAAUGCGUGAAAAGUUAACAGGGCUGAAGUUUUAAUAAAAUUUAUUUCU
Molecule: long non-coding RNA, 2031 nt
Organism: Eubalaena glacialis (North Atlantic right whale)
Lineage: Eukaryota; Metazoa; Chordata; Mammalia; Artiodactyla; Balaenidae
Exons: 4
Source: RefSeq, a predicted model, not a curated record